GAGCAAGUGAGCAAGAGAGAACAGUACAGUCUCCGUCUCUCCGUGUUCACAGCGGACCUUGAUUUAAUGUCAUACAAUUAAGGCACGCGGUGAAUGCCAAGAGCGAGGC
This is a microRNA precursor of Naja naja (Indian cobra), 109 nucleotides long. Ensembl annotates it as microRNA 124-2. Its record names the gene MIR124-2. The record is from Ensembl. Lineage: Eukaryota; Metazoa; Chordata; Lepidosauria; Squamata; Elapidae.